RNAcentral lists this ribosomal RNA (546 nucleotides) under Paraburkholderia tropica. RNAcentral's name for it is "bacterial SSU rRNA". It matches the Rfam family "Bacterial small subunit ribosomal RNA", at positions 801 to 1353 of the family's 1533-position model. The record is from RNAcentral. Lineage: Bacteria; Pseudomonadati; Pseudomonadota; Betaproteobacteria; Burkholderiales; Burkholderiaceae.
CUAAACGAUGUCAACUGGUUGUCGGGUCUUCAUUGACUUGGUAACGUAGCUAACGCGUGAAGUUGACCGCCUGGGGAGUACGGUCGCAAGAUUAAAACUCAAAGGAAUUGACGGGGACCCGCACAAGCGGUGGAUGAUGUGGAUUAAUUCGAUGCAACGCGAAAAACCUUACCUACCCUUGACAUGUACGGAAUCCUGCUGAGAGGCGGGAGUGCCCGAAAGGGAGCCGUAACACAGGUGCUGCAUGGCUGUCGUCAGCUCGUGUCGUGAGAUGUUGGGUUAAGUCCCGCAACGAGCGCAACCCUUGUCCCUAGUUGCUACGCAAGAGCACUCCAGGGAGACUGCCGGUGACAAACCGGAGGAAGGUGGGGAUGACGUCAAGUCCUCAUGGCCCUUAUGGGUAGGGCUUCACACGUCAUACAAUGGUCGGAACAGAGGGUUGCCAAGCCGCGAGGUGGAGCCAAUCCCAGAAAACCGAUCGUAGUCCGGAUCGCAGUCUGCAACUCGACUGCGUGAAGCUGGAAUCGCUAGUAAUCGCGGAUCAGC